Molecule: unclassified non-coding RNA, 433 nt
Filed under: soil metagenome
Description: partial contains 5.8S ribosomal RNA, internal transcribed spacer 2, and large subunit ribosomal RNA
Rfam family: 5.8S ribosomal RNA (bases 1-120)
Source: RNAcentral
GAUGAAGAACGCAGCGAAAUGCGAUACGUUAUGUGAAUUGCAGAAUUCAGUGAAUCAUCGAAUCUUUGAACGCAUAUUGCGCUCUCUGGUAUUCCGGAGAGCAUGCUUGUUUGAGUAUCAGUAAACACCUCAACUUCCAUAUCUUUUUUGAAAUGGGAGUUGGACUUGAGUGAUCCCAACGCUUUUCCUCACCGAAAAGUGGCGGGUUACUUGAAAUGCAGGUGCAGCUGGACUUUUCUCUGAGCUAUAAGCAUAUCUAUUUAGUCUGCCUAAAAAACAGAUUAUUACCUUUGCUGCAGCUAACAUAAAGGAGAUUAGUUCUUGUGCUGACUGAUGCAGGAUUCACAAAGACAGGCUUCGGCCGACUUUGUAAACUCGAUCUCAAAUCAAGUAAGACUACCCGCUGAACUUAAGCAUAUCAAUAAGCGGAGGA